CCGCCCGUCACACCAUGGGAGUGGGUUGCAAAAGAAGUAGGUAGCUUAACCUUCGGGAGGGCGCUUACCACUUUGUGAUUCAUGACUGGGGUGAAGUCGUAACAAGGUAACCGUAGGGGAACCUGCGGUUGGAUCACCUCCUUACCUUAAAGAAGC
This 156-nucleotide ribosomal RNA is filed under the name Escherichia coli. Its description in RNAcentral is "partial 16S ribosomal RNA". It matches the Rfam family "Bacterial small subunit ribosomal RNA", at positions 1390 to 1533 of the family's 1533-position model. The record is from RNAcentral. Lineage: Bacteria; Pseudomonadati; Pseudomonadota; Gammaproteobacteria; Enterobacterales; Enterobacteriaceae. RNAcentral also lists the same sequence under 3 other names.